AACGAACGCUGGCGGCAUGCCUAACACAUGCAAGUCGAACGAGACCUUCGGGUCUAGUGGCGCACGGGUGCGUAACGCGUGGGAACCUGCCUUUAGGUUCGGAAUAACUCGGAGAAAUUUGAGCUAAUACCGGAUGAUGUCUUCGGACCAAAGAUUUAUCGCCCUUAGAUGGGCCCGCGUUGGAUUAGCUAGUUGGUGGGGUAAAGGCCUACCAAGGCGACGAUCCAUAGCUGGUCUGAGAGGAUGAUCAGCCACACUGGGACUGAGACACGGCCCAGACUCCUACGGGAGGCAGCAGUGGGGAAUAUUGGACAAUGGGCGAAAGCCUGAUCCAGCAAGGCCGCGUGAGUGAUGAAGGCCUUAGGGUUGUAAAGCUCUUUUACCCGAGAUGAUAAUGACAGUAUCGGGAGAAUAAGCUCCGGCUAACUCCGUG
This 433-nucleotide ribosomal RNA is filed under the name uncultured bacterium. Its description in RNAcentral is "partial 16S ribosomal RNA". It matches the Rfam family "Bacterial small subunit ribosomal RNA", at positions 29 to 507 of the family's 1533-position model. The record is from RNAcentral.